GAUGAACGCUGGCGGCGUGCUUAACACAUGCAAGUCGAACGGAAAGGCUCCUGCUUGCAGGGGUACUCGAGUGGCGAACGGGUGAGUAACACGUGGGUGAUCUGCCCUGCACUUCGGGAGAAGCCUGGGAAACUGGGUCUAAUACCGGAUAGGAUCACAUGUUGGAUGGUGUGGUGGAAAGUUUUGCGGUGUUGGAUGAGCUCGCGGCGUAUAAGCUUGUUGGUGGGGUAAUGGCCUACCAAGGCGUAGACGGGUAGCCGGCCUGAGAGGACGUAGGGCCACAUUGGACCUGUGAGGCAGGCCAGAGUCGGGAGGGAGGCAGCAGUGGGGAAUGUUGCACAAUGCGCGCAAGCCUGAUGCAGGAACGCCGCGUGGGGGAUGACGGCCUUUAGGUUGUAAGCUCCUUUCGCUAGGGACGAAGCGUUUUUGUGACGGUACCUGGAGAAGAAGCACCGGCUAACUACGUG
Molecule: ribosomal RNA, 467 nt
Filed under: uncultured bacterium
Lineage: Bacteria
Description: partial 16S ribosomal RNA
Rfam family: Bacterial small subunit ribosomal RNA
Source: RNAcentral